UGGGGAAUUUUGGACAAUGGGCGAAAGCCUGAUCCAGCAAUGCCGCGUGAGUGAAGAAGGCCUUCGGGUUGUAAAGCUCUUUUGUCAGGGAAGAAACGGUGAAAGCUAAUAUCUUUUGCUAAUGACGGUACCUGAAGAAUAAGCACCGGCUAACUACGUGCCAGCAGCCGCGGUAAUACGUAGGGUGCAAGCGUUAAUCGGAAUUACUGGGCGUAAAGCGUGCGCAGGCGGUUUUGUAAGUCUGAUGUGAAAUCCCCGGGCUCAACCUGGGAAUUGCAUUGGAGACUGCAAGGCUAGAAUCUGGCAGAGGGGGUAGAAUUCCAGUGUAGCAGUGAAAUGCGUAGAUAUGUGAGGAACNCCGAUGGCGAAGGCAGCCCCCUGGGUCAAGAUUGACGCUCA
This 399-nucleotide ribosomal RNA is filed under the name uncultured bacterium. Its description in RNAcentral is "bacterial SSU rRNA". It matches the Rfam family "Bacterial small subunit ribosomal RNA", at positions 355 to 749 of the family's 1533-position model. The record is from RNAcentral.